This 253-nucleotide ribosomal RNA is filed under the name uncultured bacterium. RNAcentral's name for it is "partial 16S ribosomal RNA". It matches the Rfam family "Bacterial small subunit ribosomal RNA", at positions 524 to 776 of the family's 1533-position model. The record is from RNAcentral.
UACGUAGGGUGCAAGCGUUGUCCGGAAUUAUUGGGCGUAAAGAGCUCGUAGGCGGUCUGUCACGUCGGAUGUGAAAAUCCAGGGCUUAACCCUGGACCUGCAUUCGAUACGGGCAGACUAGAGUUCGGUAGGGGAGACUGGAAUUCCUGGUGUAGCGGUGAAAUGCGUAGAUAUCUGGAGGAAUACCGGUGGCGAAGGCGGCAUCCUGGACCGACAUUGACGCUGAGGAGCGAAAGCUAGGGGAGCAAACGGG